GGGAGCCAGUCCCCGCUCUUCAUCUGCCGAUCAGAACCCUAACCCUAGGCAGCAUUCGACCAUCCUUCGGCAAACGCAUGGAUCGCUUCUUCGGUCUCGAUCUGCAAUGGCUUGUAUAGGCUGCUGUGUUUCUUUGAUCGCUAGGGAUUUUUGGAGAUGGCGGAAGGUGCAAAGCUUAUCUACAUUGCGGUGGUGGAUGAUGUGGGGGUGAAGCGAGGAAAGGGAGGAGCCGAUGGUGGGAUGGAGACUGCCUCGUUCCGGUACACGCGACCUGUGUUACAGACCACGCUGCAAUUCAUGGGAUGCAAGGCGAGGCAUGCCUUCAAGAUCAGCCGAAGGGUAUUUGAGGUUCUGAGAACGGAAUAUGUGGCUGAUUGCGUGGAUCAAGAUCAAGAAAUGAAGCGCCUGGGUCAGCAAAGUGCCGAGAUAGCUAACACGAUACCAUUUGAACAGUACAAGAAACUGACAACCAUGGCUUGUAGUAGAGAAAGAUUCUUGAGAGUUAUUUGCGAUGCUUUAUCGGAAUACAAGUAUGUAGGUCCCAACCAGAGGGCUGACCUGAUGCUUGCGUGCAGAAUCCGAGAAAAGAGGGAAUCUGUGACUGUUCUUUUAUGUGGAACAAGUGGAUGUGGAAAGUCUACUCUGUCUGCUCUGCUGGGAAGCAGGUUGGGCCUCACCACUGUAAUCUCUACUGAUUCCAUACGGCAUAUGAUGAGAAGCUUUGUUGAUGAGGAGCAAAAUCCUCUCCUUUGGGCUUCAACUUAUCAUGCUGGAGAAUACUUGGAUCCAAUAGCAGUUGCAGAAGCAAAGGCUAGACGGAAAGCACAAAAACUAGCCGUCUUAUCAUAUCCCAUGGUCAAGGAUGAAUUUUCAGAAGGAAACUCAAAUGGAAAAGCUGAUGGCCAAAUUCCUAUUAGAUUAGCUUCUGUAGAUACGAUUAGCAAGAGGCAAAUGGCCAUUAAAGGAUUUAAAGCACAGAGCGAGAUGGUGAUAGAUAGCUUGGACCGUUUGAUCACAGCUUGGGAGAAUCGAAGAGAAUCAGUUGUUGUGGAAGGAGUCCAUUUAAGCCUCAAUUUUGUGAUGGGGCUAAUGAAGAAACAUCCUUCAAUAAUACCAUUCAUGAUCUAUAUUGCAAAUGAGGAAAAACACAUGGAACGAUUUGCAGUACGUGCAAAGUAUAUGACUCUUGAUCCUGCCAAGAAUAAGUAUGUCAAAUUUAUCAAAAAUAUCAGGACAAUUCAGGACUAUCUGUGUAAUCGGGCAGACAAGCACUUGGUACCUAAAAUUAAUAAUACGAAUGUCGACCGUAGUGUUGCAUUAAUUCAUGCCACAAUCUUUAGCUGUUUACGUAGGCGUGCUGCAGGAGAAUCUCUUUAUGACCCAGCUACUAAUAUGGUGCCAUUAGUGGAUGAGGAGUAUAGAAAUCAAUGUGCUGCUGAUAGCCUAAGUUCUAAGGGAAUGUUCCAAUUAAUUCAGAGGAAAGGUUCUUCCAGGCAUCUCAUGGCCCUUCUUUAUACAGAUGGCUCUGUUGCUAAAACUUGGCCAUUUGAGUUCGCUGAUGGUAGUGUAAAAUGCAUUUCUGCCAAUGGUAAUGAUAAAAUAGUGGGAAUUUCCAUGUAUGGCCCCUUGCAUAUUGGAAAGGCAGAACCAGUUAAUCUCCAGUUUGGUAAUUUUGGAAUCAGUGCCUGGCCCAGUGAUACAGGUGGUACUAGUCAUACUGGAAGCAUCGAUGAGUCGAGGGCUGACGGUACUGAUACUGGCAGUAGAUACUUUUCCUCCUGUUGCAGCUCUCCAAGGCUAUCAGAAGCAGCCGCCAAAGAACUAAAAGAGGAGUUAUCUGUCUCUGGCAGUGAAGAGGCUGAUGAUCACCCUGAUAUUGAUAGUGAUGAGGAUCUAAGUGAUGUUGCUAAGGAUAUUCAUGAUGAGAUGGAAGGCUCGGUUGAGGAACACUCUACCAAGUCUGCUGAAGAGUACGAUGAUCUAGCAAUGCGAGAUGUCUUGGAGGAGGCAGAAUUGAUGGAACAUAACGAGUUAGUUUCUGAUUCGAAACUUUCAAAGCGUUUCAGUUCAGUAAGCAGCUUGCAAGACGAAGAUGAGUACCAGCAGAACUUGGCUGUCACUCACCCACUCAUCUCCAUGAAAGAGGAUACUAUUCUGAGCACAAGCUCAAAUAAGAAGGGCUCCAUCGGUAUUUUAGGGCGGCAUUUGUGAGCAUUUUGGCCCCGGUUAGCUGCCUCUGCGGUUCUCCGGUCUCCUCCCAGUGGCUCUAACGAACCAAAAAGGCUCCGGUUUAGGUGAGAGGCGCCUAAGACUAAGUGGUCAAUGGAUUUUUAGUUCGGUGCACAAUUCAUUUUCAGCAAUUUAAUAUUUGUAGGUUGUUGCUCUCUUGUUUUUUACUCUUUUUUUAUUUACAGCCCAUUCAAUCUUUUUGGUUGUUAAGUAGGUUUAAAAAUUACAUGUUCUGUUAAAUGCCCGUAUGCCCCUAUAUUUUUACCGCUAAAAAAUAAUUAUAAAAUUUGUUACCGCUAAAAAAAUAGUUUUGCUUC
This is an RNA transcript of Phalaenopsis equestris, 2546 nucleotides long. It is a transcript of the gene named P-loop NTPase domain-containing protein LPA1-like, with no coding region annotated. The transcript has 8 exons. The record is from RefSeq and is a predicted model, not a curated record. Lineage: Eukaryota; Viridiplantae; Streptophyta; Magnoliopsida; Asparagales; Orchidaceae.